Molecule: ribosomal RNA, 428 nt
Filed under: uncultured bacterium
Lineage: Bacteria
Description: partial 16S ribosomal RNA
Rfam family: Bacterial small subunit ribosomal RNA
Source: RNAcentral
GUGGGGAAUAUUGGGCAAUGGGCGCAAGCCUGACCCAGCAACGCCGCGUGAAGGAAGAAGGCUUUCGGGUUGUAAACUUCUUUUACCAGGGACGAAAAAAAUGACGGUACCUGGAGAAUAAGCCACGGCUAACUACGUGCCAGCAGCCGCGGUAAUACGUAGGUGGCAAGCGUUGUCCGGAUUUACUGGGUGUAAAGGGCGCGUAGGCGGGAGAGCAAGUCAGGAGUGAAAUCUAUGGGCUUAACCCAUAAAUUGCUUUUGAAACUGUUUUUAUUGAGUGAUGGAGAGGCAAGCGGAAUUCCUAGUGUAGCGGUGAAAUGCGUAGAUAUUAGGAGGAACACCAGUGGCGAAGGCGGCUUGCUGGACAUUAACUGACGCUGAUGCGCGAAAGCGUGGGGAGCAAACAGGAUUAGAAACCCCUGUAGUCC